GAUGAACGCUGGCGGCGUGCCUAACACAUGCAAGUCGAACGGAGUCCAGCCUUAGAGACCUUCGGGUCAAAGAGGGGAAGACUGAGUGGCGGACGGGUGAGUAACACGUGGGCAACCUGGCUCAUAGAGGGGGAUAACAGAGAGAAAUUUCUGCUAAUACCGCAUAAGCACACACUGCCGCAUGGCAGAGGGUGAAAAGAGAAUCGCUAUGAGAUGGACCCGCGUCUGAUUAGCCAGUUGGCAGGGUAAGAGCCUACCAAAGCGACGAUCAGUAGCCGAUCUGAGAGGAUGAACGGCCACAUUGGGACUGAGACACGGCCCAAACUCCUACGGGAGGCAGCAGUGGGGGAUAUUGCACAAUGGGGGGAACCCCUGAUGCAAGCGACGCCCGCGUGAGUGAAAGAAAGUAAUUUCGGUAUGUAAAAGCUCUAUU
RNAcentral lists this ribosomal RNA (433 nucleotides) under Oribacterium sp. oral taxon 372. RNAcentral's name for it is "bacterial SSU rRNA". It matches the Rfam family "Bacterial small subunit ribosomal RNA", at positions 28 to 437 of the family's 1533-position model. The record is from RNAcentral. Lineage: Bacteria; Bacillati; Bacillota; Clostridia; Lachnospirales; Lachnospiraceae.